Molecule: non-coding RNA, 294 nt
Organism: Paramuricea clavata
Lineage: Eukaryota; Metazoa; Cnidaria; Anthozoa; Malacalcyonacea; Plexauridae
Source: the annotation of a GenBank genome assembly
GACGUCGAAUAUCAACGUCAUAAACACCAAAGUUGAUCGUGUUGAUGACGUCGAAUAUCGACGUUAUAAGCAUCUAAGUUGAUCGUGUUUAUGACGUCGAAUAUCAACGUCAUAAAUAUCUAAGUUGAUCGUGUUUAUGACGUCGAACAUCGACGUCAUCAACACUAUAGUUGAUCGUGUUUAUGACGUCGAAUACCGACGCCAUAAACACCAAAGUUGAUCGUGUUAUGACGUCGAAUAUCGACGUCAUAAACACCAAAGUUGAUCGUGUUUAUGACGUCGAAUAUCGACGUC